Homo sapiens (human) is the source of this 1311-nucleotide long non-coding RNA. Ensembl annotates it as long intergenic non-protein coding RNA 923. NCBI's taxonomy places the organism in Eukaryota, Metazoa, Chordata, Mammalia, Primates, Hominidae. The record is from Ensembl.
ACUUUUGCUUAGGGCGUGAAGGGGAGGAGUGAAAUCCUUCUGGAAAAUAUAACAGAAUAGCAGUUUUUGCCGGAAUAGCUACUUGCAGAAACGUGGUCAAAGACAUUGGUGUGCAAGUGGCAAAAAGAGUCCUGUCCCAGCACUGCAAGGGGAAGAUAAAGGCUCGUCAUCUGUGCGUGCGUCCAUCUGAGUGGAACGUGUGUCCCGGGGGCUGCUGCCACCGCGCCGGUCCCUCCUGUAAUCCGAGCCCGUGUCAGAGGACGCGGCGCCUGCAAGGAAGAAGGGUUGCCGCAGGUGUGGCCAGAUCCUCUAGGCAAGAGGUGUGGAUUCAGGUCCUACUAGUCUUACUCCUGAUGAAGCUGGGCAAAUCAGUUGGCUCUGGAGUAAUUAGUAGCCCCUUCCUCACUGACCAUUGCAAGAUGCUGCUUGCCUGACAGAGGAAUGGAAUGACUUGCUGAAGGAGUAGCAGAAACACUGACUUGGAGGUGAUGACUUGCAAGAGAGGAGAGUCAUCCUCCAAGAUGUCAGGGGACAAAAAUGAAGGUUAUUGAAAAGAAUCAUGCUUGGUGGAAGAAGUAAUUACAUUUUUUUUUCAAAUCUCAGAGGAAUAAUGCUUUUAUAUUUCCUGCGAUGACCCAAUUUGCACUACGAUAUGCUCCCUUAAAUGUGAUUUAAACAGAAGAGAGGACCACCCCGCCAACCAAAUGUCCAGGUCCUAUUCCAUGGAACCUAUGAACAGGUUGUCCCACAUUGCAAAAGGGACUUCACAGAUGUCGAAGAGCUAGAGAAGAUGCGAUAAUGGAAGCGGAAUCAAAGACAGAUUUGAAGAUGCUGCUGUCUUUGGAGAGAAUGGCCAGGAGGCAAGGAACACAAGCAGCCCCUAGAAGUUGGAAAAGAAACAGGAGUGAUAAGGGGGAACUGAGGACUAAAUUUUUCUAAAGGUCUUCCUAAGGUUCCUGGAAGAAGUCACGUUUAUAAGCCAGAACUUACAUAUCUUUCUGCUGUCCCAAAAUUUUUAAACAAAACUACUCUUCCUUAACCAACUGCAAAUCAGAAAAUCUUGGAAUCUACUUAUGACCUGUAAGCCUCCGCUUCAAGAUACCCCACCUUUUUAGACCAAAGCAAUGACUAACCUCCAUGUAUUGAGGUAUGAUUUUGCCUGUAACUUCUGCCUUCUUGAAAGUUACCCAUACCUUUAAAGACCCUUGCUUGCAAGCCACUGAGAAGAUGGGUCUAAAGUGUGCAUUGCCCCAUUCUCCUUGCCUGGUUCCCUGCAAAUAAAUGCCCUGCUUUCUGCAGUGGCAAACCUCA